RNAcentral lists this ribosomal RNA (253 nucleotides) under uncultured bacterium. RNAcentral's name for it is "partial 16S ribosomal RNA". It matches the Rfam family "Bacterial small subunit ribosomal RNA", at positions 524 to 776 of the family's 1533-position model. The record is from RNAcentral.
UACAGAGGGGGCAAGCGUUGUUCGGAAUUACUGGGCGUAAAGGGCGCGUAGGCGGCCGCCUAAGUCAGACGUGAAAUCCCUCGGCUCAACCGGGGAACUGCGUCUGAUACUGGGUGGCUUGAAUUCGGGAGAGGGAUGCGGAAUUCCAGGUGUAGCGGUGAAAUGCGUAGAUAUCUGGAGGAACACCGGUGGCGAAGGCGGCAUCCUGGACCGGUAUUGACGCUGAGGCGCGAAAGCCAGGGGAGCAAACGGG